AUUGAACGCUGGCGGCAGGCCUAACACAUGCAAGUCGAGCGGAUGAAGGGAGCUUGCUCCUGGAUUCAGCGGCGGACGGGUGAGUAAUGCCUAGGAAUCUGCCUGGUAGUGGGGAAUAACGUCCGGAAACGGGCGCUAAUACCGCAUACGUCCUGAGGGAGAAAGUGGGGGAUCUUCGGACCUCACGCUAUCAGAUGAGCCUAGGUCGGAUUAGCUAGUUGGUGGGGUAAAGGCCUACCAAGGCGACGAUCCGUAACUGGUCUGAGAGGAUGAUCAGUCACACUGGAACUGAGACACGGUCCAGACUCCUACGGGAGGCAGCAGUGGGGAAUAUUGGACAAUGGGCGAAAGCCUGAUCCAGCCAUGCCGCGUGUGUGAAGGAGGUCUUCGGAUUGUAAAGCACUUUAAGUUGGGAGGAAGGGCAGUAAGUUAAUACCUUGCUGUUUUGACGUUACCAACAGAAUAAGCACCGGCUAACUUCGUG
This 484-nucleotide ribosomal RNA is filed under the name uncultured bacterium. Its description in RNAcentral is "partial 16S ribosomal RNA". It matches the Rfam family "Bacterial small subunit ribosomal RNA", at positions 30 to 507 of the family's 1533-position model. The record is from RNAcentral.